CCUGACUGCUAUCGGAUUGAUACUAAGCCAUGCGAGUCAUUGUAGCAAUACAAGGCAUACUGCUCAGUAACACGUGGAUAACCUGCCCUACACUGGGGGAUAAUCUCGGGAAACUGAGCAUAAUACCCCAUAGACCACUACGCCUGGAACGGUGAGUGGUUGAAAGCUUCGGCGGUGUAGGAUGGGUCUGCGGCGUAUCAGGUUGUAGGGGGUGUAAUGGACCUCCUAGCCAUCGACGCGUACGGGUUGUGGGAGCAAUAGCCCGGAGACGGAUUCUGAGACACGAAUCCGGACCCUACGGGGUGCAGCAGGCGCGAAAACUUCACACUGCAGGAAACUGUGAUGAGGGAACUCCAAGUGACUGCACAAUGUGUAGCCUUUUCUUGAAUUUUAAUAGUUCUUGGAAUAAGGGCUGGGAAAGACCGGUGCCAGCCGCCGCGGUAAUACCGGCAGCUCGAGUGGUCGUCGCUUUUAUUGGGCCUAAAACGUCCGUAGCCUGUUUGGUAAAUCUGUGGGUAAAUCAAUCCGCUUAACGGAUUGAAUUCUGCAGAGACUGCCAGACUAGGGACCGGGAGAGGUAUGAGGUACUCUGGGGGUAGGGGUAAAAUCCUGUCAUCCUCAGAGGACCACCUGUUGCGAAGGCGUCAUACUGGAACGGAUCCGACGGUCAGGGACGAAGCCUAGGGGCACGAACCGGAUUAGAUACCCGGGUAGUCCUAGGUGUAAACGCUGUGGAUUUGGUGUGUGGGGUCCGCAAUGGGCCCCAUGUGCCGGAGUGAAGAUGUUAAAUCCACUGCCUGGGGAGUACGGUCGCAAGGCUGAAACUUAAAGGAAUUGGCGGGGGAGCACCACAAGGGGUGAAGCCUGCGGUUCAAUUGGAGUCAACGCCAGAAAUCUUACCCGGAGAGACAGCAGAAUGAAGGUCAAGCUGAAGACUUUACCAGACAAGCUGAGAGGUGGUGCAUGGCCGUCGCCAGCUCGUGCCGUGAGAUGUCCUGUUAAGUCAGGUAACGAGCGAGAUCCCUGCCUCUAGUUGCCACCAUUACUCUCAGGAGUAGUGGGGCGAAUUAGCGGGACCGCCGCAGUUAAUGCGGAGGAAGGAAGGGGCCACGGCAGGUCAGUAUGCCCCGAAACUCUGGGGCCACACGCGGGCUGCAAUGGUAACGACAAUGUGUUCCGAAUCCGAAAGGAAGAGGUAAUCCUCAAACGUUACCACAGUUAUGACUGAGGGCUGCAACUCGCCCUCACGAAUAUGGAAUCCCUAGUAACUGCGUGUCAUUAUCGCGCGGUGAAUACGUCCCUGCUCCUU
This 1309-nucleotide ribosomal RNA is filed under the name uncultured prokaryote. RNAcentral's name for it is "partial 16S ribosomal RNA". It matches the Rfam family "Archaeal small subunit ribosomal RNA", at positions 21 to 1338 of the family's 1478-position model. The record is from RNAcentral.